RNAcentral lists this ribosomal RNA (460 nucleotides) under uncultured bacterium. RNAcentral's name for it is "partial 16S ribosomal RNA". It matches the Rfam family "Bacterial small subunit ribosomal RNA", at positions 338 to 795 of the family's 1533-position model. The record is from RNAcentral.
CCUACGGGAGGCAGCAGUGAGGAAUAUUGGUCAAUGGACGAGAGUCUGAACCAGCCAAGUAGCGUGAAGGAUGACUGCCCUAUGGGUUGUAAACUUCUUUUAUAUGGGAAUAAAAUGUUCCACGUGUGGGAUUUUGUAUGUACCCUAUGAAUAAGGAUCGGCUAACUCCGUGCCAGCAGCCGCGGUAAUACGGAGGAUCCGAUCGUUAUCCGGAUUUAUUGGGUUUAAAGGGAGCGUAGGUGGAUUGUUAAGUCAGUUGUGAAAGUUUGCGGCUCAACCGUAAAAUUGCAGUUGAAACUGGCAGUCUUGAGUACAGUAGAGGUGGGCGGAAUUCGUGGUGUAGCGGUGAAAUGCUUAGAUAUCACGAAGAACUCCGAUUGCGAAGGCAGUUCACUGGACUGCAACUGACACUGAGGCUCGAAAGUGUGGGUAUCAAACAGGAUUAGAUACCCCUGUAGUC